AUUGAACGCUGGCGGCAUGCCUUACACAUGCAAGUCGAACGGUAACGCGGGGCAACCUGGCGACGAGUGGCGAACGGGUGAGUAAUGCAUCGGAACGUGCCCAGAAGUGGGGGAUAGCCCGGCGAAAGCCGGAUUAAUACCGCAUGAGACCUGAGGGUGAAAGCGGGGGAUCGCAAGACCGCGCGCUUUUGGAGCGGCCGAUGUGAGAUUAGCUAGUUGGUGGGGUAAAGGCCUACCAAGGCGCCGAUCUGUAGCUGGUCUGAGAGGACGACCAGCCACACUGGGACUGAGACACGGCCCAGACUCCUACGGGAGGCAGCAGUGGGGAAUUUUGGACAAUGGGCGCAAGCCUGAUCCAGCCAUGCCGCGUGCGGGAAGAAGGCCUUCGGGUUGUAAACCGCUUUUGUCAGGGAAGAAACGCUCUGGGCUAAUACCCUGGGGUAAUGACGGUACCUGAAGAAUAAGCACCGGCUAACUACGUGCCAGCCGCCGCCGUAA
RNAcentral lists this ribosomal RNA (498 nucleotides) under uncultured bacterium. RNAcentral describes it as "partial 16S ribosomal RNA". It matches the Rfam family "Bacterial small subunit ribosomal RNA", at positions 29 to 523 of the family's 1533-position model. The record is from RNAcentral.